Molecule: ribosomal RNA, 464 nt
Filed under: uncultured bacterium
Lineage: Bacteria
Description: partial 16S ribosomal RNA
Rfam family: Bacterial small subunit ribosomal RNA
Source: RNAcentral
GAUGAACGCUGACAGAAUGCUUAACACAUGCAAGUCUUUGGCGAAGCUGUGCUUGCACAGCCUAGCCAAGGCGGACGGGUGAGUAACGCGUAAGGAACUUGCCCUGCAGUCAGGGAUAACAGACGGAAACGACUGAUAAGACCUGGUAAAGUCAGGCGGACUCAUGUCCAGCCUGAUGAAAAGAGAUGCUGCAGGAGAGCCUUGCGUCCUAUUAGCUUGUUGGUGGGGUAACGGCCCACCAAGGCGAUGAUAGGUAGCCGGCCUGAGAGGGUGGACGGCCACAAGGGGACUGAGAUACGGCCCUUACUCCUACGGGAGGCAGCAGUGGGGAAUAUUGGACAAUGGGGGCAACCCUGAUCCAGCAAUUCUGUGUGCACGAUGAAGGUUUUCGGAUUGUAAAGUGCUUUCAGCAGGGAAGAAAAAAAAUGACGGUACCUGCAGAAGAAGCGACGGCUAAAUACGUG